AGCAUUAAGCUCAUUCCAGAUUCAGAGUUUUUAAUGGCCAGUUUGGUAACAUCAGAGGAUGAAAUAAGUCAUGACAGAAACAUUUUUGUGAAAGACGUCUCAGAAAUUCCUGAGUUAAAUCAGGUACCAUCAUGCUUGUGGGCACAACACAAGUAUGAUGUAGGAUUAAUCAAAGAUGCUGAGCCUGUAGUAAUCACACCAAAAUCUUCAUACAGGCCAUGUCAGAACCAGUAUCCUUUGAAGAAGGAAGCUGUUGAUGGUAUUAAACCGGUGUUUGAUUCUCUUUUAAAAGCAGGAGUGAUUAUUCCAUGCGCAAAUUCUCCAGUCCGAACACCUAUUUUCCCCGUACGGAAACUCCGGGACGCCGGAGAGCCACAACAUUGGAGAUUCGUGCAGGACUUGCAGGCGCAUCCCAGUGGAUCCUGACAGCCAGUAUUGGUUUGCAUUUUCUUUUUAAGGUAAGAGUUUUACAUUCACCAGACUCAUCCAAGGGUAUUUGGAGAGUCCUGGAAUCUUUAACGAUGCGUUAAAAAAAACAAUUUGGAAAUGUUGAGAUUGACAGAAGGAAGUGCGCUGCUACAAUAUGUAGAUGACCUUAUGAUCUGCUCAAAAAACAAGAGAAGCUUGUGUAAAAGACACACUAGCUCUGCUCAAUCGCCUUGCAGAUAUUGUACAUGGGAAAGGUCUUGCAGCAAAAGACAAAGUCCACUGGACACCAGAAGCAGAGAAGGCUGUGGCGGCUGCAGAGAAAGCUGUUAUAGCCUCACGUGACAUUGUGGGUUGCGCUGAUCUGACAUUGUUGGUUCCACAUGCUGUCUCAAUGAUAUUGCUUGAACAGAAAACAUCACAUCUCUCAACAGCCAGGUGGUUAAGAUACAACACCAUAUUGCUUGAAAUGCCUAAUAUCACUGUUAAGAGAUGUACAGUGCUUAACCCAGCAACUCUCCUCCCUACAGCGGCAGACGGUGAACCUCACGAUUGUGUGGCAGUGAUAACAGAGACUUGCUCCCCCAGACCAGAUCUGCAGGAAACACCAUUGAUCAAUCCAGAGCUGGAGCUGUUUGUUGACGGUUCAGCAUCACGAGAUCCAGCAACUGGUAAAAAUCUUGCAGGGUUUGCAGUAACAACAUUGUAUGAAACAAUUCUGGCUAAACCACUCCCAUCAAAUUACUCAGCACAGGCAGCAGAGUUAGUUGCAUUAACGGAAGCAUGUAAAUGUGCUAAUGACCAAACUGUGAACAUUUUCACAGAUAGCAGAUAUGCAUGGGGAAUGGCGCAUGAUUUUGGAAAACUCUGGGCAAACAGAAACUUCCUUACAUCCACAGCCAAACCCAUUGCACAUCACACACUGGUUGCUGAACUCUUGGAUGCUGUGCUGUUGCCUAAGCAGAUUGCCAUUUGUAAAUGUGAAGCACACACUAACAACCUUGAUCCUAUCUCACAGGGGAAUGCCAGAGCGGAUAACAACAAACACCGACCACUUGAUGUGUUGCACUAACUAAUGAACCUCUGACACCUACAGCUGAUCUGCAGGGACUGCAGACAAGAGCAACGGCAGAGGAAAAAGCAGUGUGGCGAAAGGCAGGCUGCACUGUCACAGACAAAGUGUGGUAUGGACCAAGUGACAGACCAUGCUUACCGAAGUAUCUGUUCCAUAAUUAUGUUGUGUUGACCCAUGGGCGAGACCAUGGGUCAAAGAGGAGCAUGGUGCUGGAGCGGAACAGAUGCUGGUUCGCAAAGGGAUUUAAUAACUUCUCUCAAAAAUUUUAUUUUGCCAAAAAUGCAGAUGGAUUUCAUUGAGCUGACACCCAGUGAGGGAAAGAAAUAUUGUUUGGUCAUUGUUGACAUGUUCUCUAAAUGGGUAGAGGCCAAACAGGAUUCAGCAGCAGUAGCAAGGAGUCUUAUGCGAGAUAUCAUCCCCUGCUGGGAUAUUCCAGAUAAGAUCUCCAGUGAUAACGGUACACCUUUCAUGAGCGCAGCAUUGAAGAGUGUAGGAGAGUAUCUUGGUAUUGAUUUAAAACAUCAUUGUGCUUAUCACCCAGCCAGCGCAGGAGCCGUGGAGAGGGAGAACAGUUCUCUGAAAAACAAGCUUGCUAAGUGUUGUGAUGAGACAGGGCUGCCCUGGACAAAAGCACUCCCCAUUGUUCUGAUGUACAUGAGGUCCAGGAUAAGAAGCAGGGGGGGUCUCAGUCCUUUUGAAAUCCUAUUUGGCAGGCCAUUGAACACUGGUAUUGGGCCAGUGAAAAGACAACUUCCUGACACCAGCCAAUGUGAGGAGGAUGAGAUGCUACGCUAUUGCACAAACUUGUCCACUGUGCUUUCUGAUAUUCAC
This is an RNA transcript of Siniperca chuatsi (mandarin fish), 2332 nucleotides long. RefSeq lists it as uncharacterized. The record is from RefSeq and is a predicted model, not a curated record. The transcript has 2 exons. NCBI's taxonomy places the organism in Eukaryota, Metazoa, Chordata, Actinopteri, Centrarchiformes, Sinipercidae.